RNAcentral lists this long non-coding RNA (622 nucleotides) under Setaria viridis. RNAcentral's name for it is "long non-coding RNA (SVIR_LNC005020)". The record is from RNAcentral. Lineage: Eukaryota; Viridiplantae; Streptophyta; Magnoliopsida; Poales; Poaceae.
AGUCAUUCUAUUAAAAAGAAGAAAUAUUCGAUGUUACUUAUGUUUGUUACAUUGAAACACUAGAGCAACCAUUACAUAAAAGAACACUUAAACACAACGCACGCUAGCUAGUGGUUCAGAGACGCCGGCCAGCUGAAACUUCCCAUGCUUGAAGCCCAGCUGCGCUCCACAGCGUUGCUUCCUGCACGAUGGCUGCGGACAUCGGUGUAACACGCUCAUGCAGCGAUCGCUCGUCGAGGAACGCAACCUUGGCGGCCUCUGGCUGUGGUCCGUAGACCGUGGUGAGGCACCAUGGAGCGGAGUGGCCACUCACAGAGAUCGUCGCCGUGAUCGAGUACCGGCCCUGAUGCAGAGGAGAACACACCACGUCCGGGCCCUUGCAGGCCAACAAGAUUUCCCCGCUAGCCCCUGUGGUCGGCAGAUACACGAACGUGGAGAACGCGUUGCCAAGAGUCUCAGCUGCCGGGAAGUGUGAAAGUAUAUGAAGCUUCGUUUCCUGGACGCAAACGAUGGAGGCGUUCGCGUCGCUUGCCACUGAACGCAGUGCAUCCCGGCGACAUCGUGCGCGGCGCGCACGUUCCACACCAAAAUGUUGAGAUUCGCCGUAUUCAUGUUGUGUGAC